Molecule: ribosomal RNA, 253 nt
Filed under: uncultured bacterium
Lineage: Bacteria
Description: partial 16S ribosomal RNA
Rfam family: Bacterial small subunit ribosomal RNA
Source: RNAcentral
UACGUAGGGGGCGAGCGUUGUCCGGAUUUACUGGGCGUAAAGCGCGUGUAGGCGGCCUGUUAAGUGGGGUGUGAAAGCCCGGGGCUCAACCCCGGGACGCCGCUUCAAACUGGCGGGCUUGAGGACGGAAGAGGGGAGUGGAAUUCCUGGUGUAGCGGUGAAAUGCGUAGAGAUCAGGAGGAACACCAGUGGCGAAGGCGGCGAUCUGGGCUGAUACUGACGCUGAGGUGCGAAAGCGUGGGGAGCAAACAGG